This is a long non-coding RNA of Ruditapes philippinarum (Manila clam), 1453 nucleotides long. RefSeq lists it as uncharacterized. The record is from RefSeq and is a predicted model, not a curated record. Lineage: Eukaryota; Metazoa; Mollusca; Bivalvia; Venerida; Veneridae. The transcript has 3 exons.
CCCGUAAGUCUCGUUUACUUUCACUUUCGAUUUACCACUUCCGGGUACAUCGGCAGACUUAUUUACCGUUACGCAUAUAGGUAACCCGAAGAACUCGAGAGAUAUAGAAGUUAAAUUUGUUUCGGUCCGCUUCAGAUUUGAAGGAAUGGAAAACACUGGUCAAAAAAUGCAGAUGUGUAGACAGGGAGGUAUAUUGACAAGUACAUGUAUAGAAUAUACAGUUCUUCACUAUGGACCAUUAAUCAACUGUUUACACUGCCUAUGAUCCUGAAAUAUCUAUACAUCAAAGAUAAAAAGAAAAAAGAUGAAGGGACUUUGUCCAUGAAGACCUUUAUUGCAACUACCAUCUUCCAGUUCCUUAAUUUGAGAAUGAUAUCAGAGAACACACAGUUACAUUGAACUAUUAGUUUAAUAUAAGCCACUGAUGUAAAAGAGUAUGAUUUUAUGGUAUUUGACACUAUGAUUCCAUAAUGUAGUUAUCUUGUUAAUGUCACAGUGAUAGAAACAGAGUAAAAUAUCCACAUUUCAUUGCAGUUUUAAGUAUUAAAACUAGAUGUUCUAUAAAUACCAAAGUAGAAAACACAUCAGAGAUAAGGAUUUUCAUGGAAUCACAGUAUAGUCAUAUGUCAUUAUGGACAUUAAAUGAUAAUGAAGUAAAGAUGAAAAAGAAAUAGCAAAACUAUUAUAUAUCAUCUACAUACUAAUAUUGUGAGGUAAUCAUUGAUAAGCUCACAAAUUUUCAUUCAAAGCUUUGAUAUCAAGCUGACCAUUUUUCAACUAGAAUAUGUUUUAUAACUCUAUGAUAAUUUGUUCAUGUUAAUUAUGGUAAUUUUCAAACUCUUUACAUUUGUAAAAGGAAACAUUCUUAUUCUUGUAUAAGUAGACUUUCACAGUGUAAAGGUACAUUGUCCAAAUAAUUAAUAAUAGUUUCAAGUGCUUUCCUGAAGUUUUUCUUCCACUGGAAUAUCAGUGUGAUAUAUUUGCAAAGCAGUGCACUAUAAAGUGUGUAAAAAUAAAAGUUUAUCAAACUUAUGAACUGUUUUUUUUUGUUUCUACUAUUUGGCAUAUAUUUAUAGCAGUGCUUGAUCAUAAUGGUUCAUCUGCAAAAUAAGUGUCACUGUGUACUUUAAGCAAUGGUUAGAUUGCUUGAAUAUGCAAGCAUUGACUAAAGUAAAUACUAUGCAUGUCAUUUGAAUUUUGUCUGUCCUGAAAUCGAAACAGACACUAUCUAAAUGAUAUUGAUGAAAAGUUCUUGACAGCUCUUCAAUGACUACAUUUACACAUGGACAAAAGUUAAAAGCAUUCAUUGUGUGUUUUUUUUUUUUAAAAAAACAUUGACAAUUUUGAAACAUCCCAAUGGGUAUAUUAAUGUACCAGUGAUGUAAUUGUUUUGUAUCAAGUGCAAACCCUAAGUGUUGCUUGUUUUGUAUAGAUGAUUCACUUUUGGUCAAAU